This 253-nucleotide ribosomal RNA is filed under the name uncultured bacterium. RNAcentral describes it as "partial 16S ribosomal RNA". It matches the Rfam family "Bacterial small subunit ribosomal RNA", at positions 524 to 776 of the family's 1533-position model. The record is from RNAcentral.
UACGUAGGGGGCGAGCGUUGUCCGGAUUUAUUGGGCGUAAAGAGCGUGUAGGCGGCCAGGUAGGUCUGCUGUGAAAACUCGAGGCUCAACCUCGAGACGUCGGCGGAAACCAUCUGGCUAGAGUCCGGAAGAGGCGAGUGGAAUUCCUGGUGUAGCGGUGAAAUGCGCAGAUAUCAGGAAGAACACCAAUGGCGAAAGCAGCUCUCUGGGACGGUACUGACGCUGAGACGCGAAAGCGUGGGGAGCGAACAGG